RNAcentral lists this ribosomal RNA (460 nucleotides) under uncultured bacterium. RNAcentral describes it as "partial 16S ribosomal RNA". It matches the Rfam family "Bacterial small subunit ribosomal RNA", at positions 338 to 795 of the family's 1533-position model. The record is from RNAcentral.
CCUACGGGAUGCUGCAGUGAGGAAUAUUGGUCAAUGGACGCAAGUCUGAACCAGCCAUGCCGCGUGCAGGAAGACGGCUCUAUGAGUUGUAAACUGCUUUUGUACGAGGGUAAACGCAGGUACGUGUAUCUGUCUGAAAGUAUCGUACGAAUAAGGAUCGGCGAACUCCGUGCCAGCAGCAGAGGUAAGAAGGAGGAUUCAAGCUUUAUCCGGAUUUAUUGGGUUUAAAGGUUGCGUAGGCGGUCGGAUAAGUUAGAGGUUAAAUCCCGAGGCGCAACUUCGGAAUUGCCUCUGAUACUGUUCGGCUAGAGAGUAGUUGCGGUAGGCGGAAUGUAUGGUGUAGCGGUGAAAUGCUUAGAGAUCAUACAGAACACCGAUUGCGAAGGCAGCUUACCAAGCUACUUCUGACGUUGAGGCACGAAAGCGUGGGGAGCAAACAGGAUUAGAUACCCGAGUAGUC